RNAcentral lists this long non-coding RNA (1035 nucleotides) under Mus pahari (shrew mouse). Its description in RNAcentral is "lncRNA (MGP_PahariEiJ_G0005344.1)". The record is from RNAcentral. Lineage: Eukaryota; Metazoa; Chordata; Mammalia; Rodentia; Muridae.
GAGGUAGUCAUAAUGAAAUAACGGAUAAAUGGCUGUGAUCUCCCUUACCUCUCCACCCAUACCCACCCCUGCCACACCCUGCUUAUUGGUUCUGUGUCUCUAGAUAAAUCAAAUAAGGCAAUAAGACGAGCCAUGAGAUUUUGGAUCUAUAUGUAUAUCAACAUCAGCGAAGGAUCCGGAGAUGUGACUCAGGGGUUAAGGACACUUGCUGCUCUCAUAGAAGACUGGAGUUUGGGUUCCAGCACCCACAUCAGGUGGCUCCUACCAUCUGUAACUCCAGAUUAAGCGGAUCCGAUGCCCUCUUCUGGUCCCUGAAGAGCAGAACCCUGGGACUGCCCUCCAGAGAGCUGGAGGGAGGCACACCAUUCUCGGAUGCUCUGAAGGACGUUUAAUUCUUCAAUCAGAUCCUGAAGGCAAAGACAUUCACAACAAGCUAAGGAAAAUGACUGCUGAAGGUUCUACCGAGGACAACUCACAUCCCAUCCUUCGUGGGACUGAGAACUCGAGACGCAGAUUCAUCCAUGGCGCCAGGGAAUUAACAGUAGAAAGUGACCUUUCACCCAGAUGAACGUGUGCCAAGUGAGAAGAUAAUUGAAGUAUGACAACAGAGCUGUGGAGGCUGUGUGCUUAAGUAUUCUUACCUGUAACAAAAGGCUGCAUAGGGUGUUUCAGUGAUUUGUAGAAUUCCACCCUGUCUUUCUCAGCUUGCUUUUUCUCCUUCCCUCGAUUAUACACAAUAUCCUGCUCCUCUCAUAGCUUGUGCAGCAUGUGGCUGGGGACAUGUGGCUGGCUGUAGAAGUUCGUGCUGAUUAAUUUAGCCUCCCUCUCAAGCAGCCUCCUGGUAUUUGUUUCGUAGGCUUCUGAGUGUCUAGGGCCACUUUCUUUGGUGAACGUUUUACUUUUUGUGGGGCUGGAGCAGAAACAAGUGGUGGUGAAAACAGUCAAGUUAGCGAACAUAGCAACAAGGGAGUUUUUUUACUUCUCUGGAGUACCUAGUCAAUCCUGAAAACACUCCUAUUAAAGUCAUCAUUAAAC